GAAGCCCCAACCCUAGCUCCCACCCCUUCCACUGUUGGCCCGGUGGUUUAGCCCAAAAAAUCUAUUAAUCCAAGCCCACAACAUCUUAGGCCAAGCCCAAAACUCGGUAGCCCAAACCGAGCCCAAUUAUUUCUAGAUCAACCCUAGUCCAAACUCAUACCCAUUCUAAGCCUAAGCCCAAGCCCAAGCCCAAACUUUCGUAGGCCA
Molecule: long non-coding RNA, 207 nt
Filed under: Elaeis guineensis (African oil palm)
Lineage: Eukaryota; Viridiplantae; Streptophyta; Magnoliopsida; Arecales; Arecaceae
Description: long non-coding RNA (EGUI_LNC063899)
Source: RNAcentral